GAUGAAGAACGUAGCGAAAUGCGAUAAGUAAUGUGAAUUGCAGAAUUCAGUGAAUCAUCGAGUCUUUGAACGCACAUUGCGCCCCCUGGUAUUCCGGGGGGCAUGCCUGUCCGAGCGUCAUUGCUGCCCUCAAGCACGGCUUGUGUGUUGGGCCCCCGCCCCCCGGCUUCGGGGGGCGGGCCCGAAAGGCAGCGGCGGCACCGCGUCCGGUCCUCGAGCGUAUGGGGCUUCGUCACCGGCUCUGUAGGCCCGGCCGGCGCCCGCCGGCGACCCCAAUCAAUCUUUCCAGGUUGACCUCGGAUCAGGUAGGGAUACCCGCUGAACUUAAGCAUAUCAAUAAGCGGAGGA
Molecule: unclassified non-coding RNA, 348 nt
Filed under: soil metagenome
Description: partial contains 5.8S ribosomal RNA, internal transcribed spacer 2, and large subunit ribosomal RNA
Rfam family: 5.8S ribosomal RNA (bases 1-120)
Source: RNAcentral